This 468-nucleotide ribosomal RNA is filed under the name uncultured bacterium. RNAcentral describes it as "partial 16S ribosomal RNA". It matches the Rfam family "Bacterial small subunit ribosomal RNA", at positions 28 to 507 of the family's 1533-position model. The record is from RNAcentral.
GACGAACGCUGGCGGCGUGCUUAACACAUGCAAGUCGAACGGAAAGGCCCUGCUUUUGUGGGGUGCCCGAGUGGCGAACGGGUGAGUAACACGUGAGUAACCUGCCCUUGACUUUGGGAUAACUUCAGGAAACUGGGGCUAAUACCGGAUAGGAGCUCCUGCUGCAUGGUGGGGGUUGGAAAGUUUCGGCGGUUGGGGAUGGACUCGCGGCUUAUCAGCUUGUUGGUGGGGUAGUGGCUUACCAAGGCUUUGACGGGUAGCCGGCCUGAGAGGGUGACCGGCCACAUUGGGACUGAGAUACGGCCCAGACUCCUAUGGGAGGCAGCAGUGGGGAAUAUCGCACAAUGGGCGGAAGCCUGAUGCAGCAACGCCGCGUGCGGGAUGACGGCCUUCGGGUUGUAAACCGCUUUCGCCUGUGACGAAGCGUGAGUGACGGUAAUGGGUAAAGAAGCACCGGCUAACUACGUG